UAGGGAAUCUUCCACAAUGGACGAAAGUCUGAUGGAGCAACGCCGCGUGAGUGAUGAAGGUUUUCGGAUCGUAAAACUCUGUUGUAAGGGAAGAACACGUACGAGAGGGAAUGCUCGUACCUUGACGGUACCUUACGAGAAAGCCACGGCUAACUACGUGCCAGCAGCCGCGGUAAUACGUAGGUGGCAAGCGUUGUCCGGAAUUAUUGGGCGUAAAGCGCGCGCAGGCGGCCUUUUAAGUCUGAUGUGAAAGCCCCCGGCUCAACCGGGGAGGGCCAUUGGAAACUGGAAGGCUUGAGUACAGAAGAGAAGAGUGGAAUUCCACGUGUAGCGGUGAAAUGCGUAGAGAUGUGGAGGAACACCAGUGGCGAAGGCGACUCUUUGGUCUGUAACUGACGCUGAGGCGCGGAAGCGUGGGGAGCAAACAG
This 428-nucleotide ribosomal RNA is filed under the name uncultured bacterium. RNAcentral's name for it is "bacterial SSU rRNA". It matches the Rfam family "Bacterial small subunit ribosomal RNA", at positions 355 to 775 of the family's 1533-position model. The record is from RNAcentral.